GAUGAACGCUGGCGGCGUGCCUAAUACAUGCAAGUCGAGCGAACAGACGAGGAGCUUGCUCCUCUGACGUUAGCGGCGGACGGGUGAGUAACACGUGGAUAACCUACCUAUAAGACUGGGAUAACUUCGGGAAACCGGAGCUAAUACCGGAUAAUAUAUUGAACCGCAUGGUUCAAUAGAGAAAGACGGUUUUGCUGUCACUUAUAGAUGGAUCCGCGCCGCAUUAGCUAGUUGGUAAGGUAACGGCUUACCAAGGCAACGAUGCGUAGCCGACCUGAGAGGGUGAUCGGCCACACUGGAACUGAGACACGGUCCAGACUCCUACGGGAGGCAGCAGUAGGGAAUCUUCCGCAAUGGGCGAAAGCCUGACGGAGCAACGCCGCGUGAGUGAUGAAGGUCUUCGGAUCGUAAAACUCUGUUAUUAGGGAAGAACAAAUGUAUAAGUAACUAUGCACGUCUUGACGGUACCUAAUCAGAAAGCCACGGCUAACUACGUG
RNAcentral lists this ribosomal RNA (497 nucleotides) under uncultured bacterium. RNAcentral describes it as "partial 16S ribosomal RNA". It matches the Rfam family "Bacterial small subunit ribosomal RNA", at positions 28 to 507 of the family's 1533-position model. The record is from RNAcentral.